This 253-nucleotide ribosomal RNA is filed under the name uncultured bacterium. Its description in RNAcentral is "partial 16S ribosomal RNA". It matches the Rfam family "Bacterial small subunit ribosomal RNA", at positions 524 to 776 of the family's 1533-position model. The record is from RNAcentral.
UACGUAGGGGGCAAGCGUUGUCCGGAUUUACUGGGCGUAAAGAGCGUGUAGGCGGCCAAACAGGUCCGUUGUGAAAACUGGAGGCUCAACCUCCAGACGUCGACGGAAACCGUAUGGCUAGAGUCCGGAAGAGGAGAGUGGAAUUCCCGGUGUAGCGGUGAAAUGCGCAGAUAUCGGGAAGAACACCUAUGGCGAAGGCAGCUCUCUGGGACGGUACUGACGCUGAGACGCGAAAGCGUGGGGAGCGAACAGG